GACGAACGCUGGCGGCGUGCCUAACACAUGCAAGUCGAACGGAAACUUCCUGCUUUUUUGCGGUGCUCGAGUGGCGACGGGGUGAUUUACACGUGAGUUCCCUGUCCUUGACUUUAGGGUAUCCUCAUAACGCUUGGGCUCGUAACUGCUAGGAUUUCCCGCUGCAGGGUGGGCGCUGGAUAGUUUCGGUGGUUGGGGAUGGAAUGGCGCCCCAUCAGAUUGUUGCAUGGGUAGUGGCUUACCAAGGCUUGGAAGGGUAGCCGGCCUGGGAGGCUCAGCGGCCACACUGGGACGGAGAUACGGCCCAGACUCCUACGGGAGGCAGCAGUGCGGAAUAGAGCACUAGGGGCGGAAGGCUGAUGCGGCAACGCCGCGUGGGGGAUGAGGUGCUUGGGGUUGUAAUCUGAUGUCGCUUGUGACGAAGAGAGAGUGACGGUAAUGGGUGAAGAAGCACCGGCUAACUACGUG
This 468-nucleotide ribosomal RNA is filed under the name uncultured bacterium. RNAcentral describes it as "partial 16S ribosomal RNA". It matches the Rfam family "Bacterial small subunit ribosomal RNA", at positions 28 to 507 of the family's 1533-position model. The record is from RNAcentral.